Chiroxiphia lanceolata (lance-tailed manakin) is the source of this 3737-nucleotide long non-coding RNA. RefSeq lists it as uncharacterized. The record is from RefSeq and is a predicted model, not a curated record. The transcript is spliced from 6 exons. Lineage: Eukaryota; Metazoa; Chordata; Aves; Passeriformes; Pipridae.
CGGAGAGGCGGCUCCGAGGGGCGGCCCGAUCUCCAGGGGGGCGGCCCGGUCGGGUCCCUCCGGCAGCGGCUGAGGCGCAGGCGGUGCCCGGAGGAGCCUUCCCCGCGGGCUGGAGCAGCAGCCGCGUCGGGAGGAAGGAGGGCGGGCAGGCGGGCGGAGCAGCGGCUGCUGACGCCCCUCACACAGACAGAGCCCGCGGGCAGCGUGUGCCGCCCGCAGGAAAUGCACGUGCUAAUUAGCAGCCUGGUUUUCUAGAGCAGACAGGGAUCCUUUCCCGGAAUUCCUGCCCGGAGCAGAGCACAGGGACACGGGUGUCAGUGUUAUGGAUCACAGGUGCUGCUCCAGUGAUCACAGCCCAACAGAAAAGUCCCUUUGCUGUGGAUGGCUUGGCCUUGCUCUGCAGAGGAAUGCCAUGGAGUCAGCUUCCUGAUUUUUCACACCUGAACAGGAGAGGAUGGACAGUCUUGGAUCAGCCCCUCGGUGCCGACAGCACUUCCUGUGGAGAUCAGAGCAAUGAACAUCUGGGCAGCACUGCUGGAGCAGCAGGGAAACCCCUCCUGGGGGAUGUGGAGUCUUGGGCCCCUGAAGGCUUGGAAAAAGCCCUGAAGUUUUUGACUGACCUUGAACCAGACAGAUGGGAGAUGAUGCUGUGUAAGAGGAGGCCUCGCUCCACUUGACCUGCAAGAGCUGCUCCAGGAGGACAAUCCAGUUCCAGCAGAAACCCCGAGGGACACGGGAUGUCACAGCAGCAGCAGGACCCACUCCAGCCCCACUGGAUUUUGGCUUCCUGGUUGUCCUGGUGCUUGGAAAACCUCUCAGUCAUCCCAUGGCACACCUGGCUCCUGGGAAAUGCUCUGGAUGGAUGGAUGGGCUGCUGCAGUGGGGGUGGAAUCACAGGCAGGAAUAAAGGCAAAAGGGAAAUCUUUCUCUGGGAAUCCCCAUCCCUGGAAGUGUCCAAGGCCAGGCUGGAAGGGGCCUGGAGCAAUCUGGGCUAAUGGAAGGUGUCCCUGCCAUGGCAGGGGGUGGGAUGAGAUGAUCUUUAAGGUCUCUUCCAACCCAAAGCAGCCUCUGAUCCUUCAGGGAAAGGCUGGGAAAACAAUCCAUGGCUGUAUUUCCCCUCCCAUUCCAGCUGCUGUCCCACCUCACCCCAGGCCUCGUGUUCUUAUUUUAAAGAAUUAAAGCCCCACUGAUCUGAACAAGGUCAAGUGUUCCUUUGCCAUCUCCCAAGCCACAGUCCCACCUCUGCCUCUGCUCCUGAAACGGCUCCAUUUGCAUAAAUUCGUCUGCAAACAAUUAAAGUUAAUUAAGAUAAUUUAUCACUUGAAAGUAAAGCGUUUUUAUCAGCAGGUAUCAGCCUGUAAAGCAAACAAAGAACCAGUUGUAGGGGAAUAGCUGGGGCCUUAUUACCCUGUUAGACAUGAAGUGACAAAAACCUGCUCGUUAUGACGCUUUUGUCGGUCCCGGUGCUUUGUUUGCAAAGUAAUUAACUGCAAUUAGCUAAUCAUCCUCUGUAGGAGCUGCAUGUGUGACUCUGCACUAGCACGGACUCAUUUACACUUUGGCUGCCUUCUCACACACAAACUGGGAGACACACAAGUUUUUUGGGAGCAGCCCGAAGUUCUUGUCUGUGGGCAGAAAUGGGAUGUUGGGAAGAGCUUUGAGGGACAGAAGGGAUCUGGUGGGUGCUCCUUGGGAUGCUCCUCUCCACUGCUUCCAGCGGGGUUUAUUGCAUCCUGAUAUCCAGUGUCUGCAGGGACUGUAAAAAUAAAGCACUUUGGGGAAAAAAAAUACCCAUUAUCGUUGCUCAAAUCCCAUCCAGCCCGGCCUUGAGCAAUUCCAGGGAUGGGGCAGCCACAGCUUCUCUGGGCAUCUCCCAGUUCCACUGGGAUCAACUCCCCUCAUCAGCAAACACAAAACUCAUUUCAUCAAAUUCUGACCCCAGCAAUAACAGAGAUCACAUUUAACUUGGAAUUUGUGGGAUGAGUUAAUCUGAGUACUCCCAGAGGCAUUGACCCCUCAGGGUAAAAAACCAACUUCACGUGCCCCAAAACCACUCCCAGGCAACCAGGAAUGGUCAUUUUUUAAAAAAUUCAUUUAAAAAAUUCCUGGCAGAGCCAUAGGCUCUCCUGGCAUGGGAGAUCAGUGGCUUCUCAAUAGGACACUCAGGAAUUCCAGCCCUUCUUGACCCACAGGAGGCCCCUGAGUGUGGAUUAUUGUCCUUGUACCUUUGUUUCCCCACCUGCUGAAUUGGGAUGGCCCCUUUUUUCUGAUGAUUUUCCCUUUGUUUUCUUUUCCCCAGGCCCUCCCUCUUACUGGGAAUUCUGGGCACUGACAAGGAUUUUCACCCUGAAAAGGGCAGUGUGUUCCAAGAGUCCCCAUAGAACAAACCCACCCUUUAUCUUCGGAUACCAGGAAAAUAUUUGGAGCUCUGUGAGCAACCUGGACAUGCUGAACAUCCCAGGGGGGUCCUGAGUGUCAGGGGGUACUGAGCACCCCUGGGUGUCCUGCUGGGUGUCUCUGGGUGCUCAGCUGCAGCGGGGGCUCCAGAAAUGAGCUCUGCCUGGUAAUUAAACCCAGGUGUUUGCAGUUGUAAUUAAAGAGCCCAUAUAAGGAGGGUGGGGCCGGGCUGGUGCCGUGCCCCGGAGGAGUGGGAGAGCUGCUGUGUCUGGGGUUUGGUCCUCUCUGCUGGCACUGGUGAGUGCUCUGUGCUUUUUGUGCAUUUAUUUGUUGGUUUAUUCACCGUUUCUGACCGAGUUUUCUCCUGUUGCUUCCCUGGCACUUCAGCUUUCCUCGUUAUGUGCUAGGGAAAAAGGAAUGCUUGGAUUUACUGAGGGGGGAGGCUGAGCUGCCCCAGCACUCACCUCUUGCUGUUGUGGGUGUUUUCAGCGUCAGGUUCAGGGCAAUUUGGGUAUUACAGCUCCUUUUCCCUGGAAUUAAAGGCAGGCACGUUGGAAUGUUAUCCUUGGUGCUUUCUUUGUUCCCUGGAGGAUCUCAAAGCUCUGCUGAGCCGAGCCUGUGGCUCACACAGCCCUGGGACCUGUGCUGGGUCCUCGGGAUGAGUCUCCCUCCAGCAAUGACUUCAGUGCAGUGAAAAUGGGUUUGCUUUUAAUAAUUCAGGAGGAAAAUGCAGCACUGGGGAGGGCUGGGGGGAAGGUGCCUCUUCCCAGGAUGCCAGAAGUGAUGCUGAGCGUUUCCCAGGAAUUCCCUGUUGGGGUGGAUGGCUGGAGGUGGGGUGUGCUCUGGGUGGGUCUGUGCUGAGGAGCACGUGCUGACCGAGUGCUUGAGCUCUGGAGUUCGGGGUGAGUGGGAAUUCUGGUUCCUGUGUUUCCAGUUCCAGGGAGUCUGUGUUUGCUGCAAACGAAGGUGCAGGGGUGAGGGGUGUUUUGGGGCGUGUUCUGACAGAAUCAAGGCAGCAGUUGUUCGGUUUCUCUCUUUGGGAGCAUUUUGCUGCAGCAGAUCCCCAGCCCCUCGCCGUGGUGGCAGCAGCACAAAGGAGCUUCCCUUCUCCAAAUGGGAAGGACUGGGAUGUAAAAUCCUGCUCUUGCAGGUCUGGGUUUGGGUGCUGGAUUUUUGGGAGCCUCGCAGGGGCUCUGGGAGGGCUGAAAGCACCACACCCCAAUUAGAGCUGAGGAGCCCCAGCUGGGCUGGGUGGGGUGACCUGGUGUUAUCCAGAGCAGAAACACCUGGGGCUGCAGGUGUUGUGGAUUCAUGGAAUGGUUUGGGAUGGAAGGAGCCUC